This is a non-coding RNA of Triticum aestivum (bread wheat), 117 nucleotides long. NCBI's taxonomy places the organism in Eukaryota, Viridiplantae, Streptophyta, Magnoliopsida, Poales, Poaceae. The record is from Rfam.
AUACCUUUCUCGGCCUUUUGGCUAAGAUCAAGUGUAGUAUCUGUUCUUAUCAGUUUAAUAUCUAAUAUGUGGGCUAUGCACCCACAAUGCCCGUGCGUUGCAAUGGGAGUAAAAAUU